CACACGACUCUCGGCAACGGAUAUCUCGGCUCUCGCAUCGAUGAAGAACGUAGCGAAAUGCGAUACCUGGUGUGAAUUGCAGAAUCCCGCGAACCAUCGAGUCUUUGAACGCAAGUUGCGCCCGAGGCCAUUCGGCUAAGGGCACGCCUGCCUGGGCGUCACG
RNAcentral lists this ribosomal RNA (163 nucleotides) under Agrostis tolucensis. Its description in RNAcentral is "5.8S ribosomal RNA". It matches the Rfam family "5.8S ribosomal RNA". Rfam says of the family: 5.8S ribosomal RNA (5.8S rRNA) is a component of the large subunit of the eukaryotic ribosome. It is transcribed by RNA polymerase I as part of the 45S precursor that also contains 18S and 28S rRNA. The record is from RNAcentral. Lineage: Eukaryota; Viridiplantae; Streptophyta; Magnoliopsida; Poales; Poaceae. RNAcentral also lists the same sequence under 2 other names.